Molecule: ribosomal RNA, 253 nt
Filed under: uncultured bacterium
Lineage: Bacteria
Description: partial 16S ribosomal RNA
Rfam family: Bacterial small subunit ribosomal RNA
Source: RNAcentral
UACAGAGGGUGCAAGCGUUGCUCGGAAUUACUGGGCGUAAAGCGUGCGCAGACGGCAAGGCAGGUCGGGUGUGAAAGCCCUGGGCUCAACCCAGGAAUUGCAUUCGAAACCAUCCUGCUCGAGUAUGGGAGAGGGGAGCGGAAUUCCUGGUGUAGAGGUGAAAUUCGUAGAUAUCAGGAGGAACACCGGCGGCGAAGGCGGCUCCCUGGCCCAUUACUGACGUUCAGGCACGAAAGCGUGGGUAGCAAACAGG